RNAcentral lists this ribosomal RNA (219 nucleotides) under unidentified soil organism R6-33. Its description in RNAcentral is "partial 16S ribosomal RNA". It matches the Rfam family "Bacterial small subunit ribosomal RNA", at positions 1282 to 1500 of the family's 1533-position model. The record is from RNAcentral.
CCGACCUCAGUUCGGAUUGGAGUCUNCNACUCGACUCCAUGAANCUGGAAUCGCUAGUAAUCGCGGAUCAGAACACCGCGGUGAAUACGUUCCCGGGCCUUGUACACACCGCCCGUCACAUCACGAAAGUGGGCUGUACUAGAAGCCGGUGGNCUAACCCCAAGGAAGCACCCGUCCAAGGUAUAACUCAUGAUUGGGGUGAAGUCGUAACAAGUAACC